GUGCUCGUUUUGGCAGCACAUACAUUAAAAUCGGAACUAUACAGAGAUUAGCAUGGCCCCUGCAUGAGGAUAACAUACAAAUUCAUUAAGCUUUCCAUGUUUUU
Small nuclear RNA from Ochotona princeps (American pika), 104 nucleotides. NCBI's taxonomy places the organism in Eukaryota, Metazoa, Chordata, Mammalia, Lagomorpha, Ochotonidae. The record is from RefSeq and is a predicted model, not a curated record.